This 433-nucleotide ribosomal RNA is filed under the name uncultured bacterium. RNAcentral's name for it is "partial 16S ribosomal RNA". It matches the Rfam family "Bacterial small subunit ribosomal RNA", at positions 29 to 507 of the family's 1533-position model. The record is from RNAcentral.
AACGAACGCUGGCGGCAUGCCUAACACAUGCAAGUCGAACGAGACCUUCGGGUCUAGUGGCGCACGGGUGCGUAACGCGUGGGAACCUGCCCUUAGGUUCGGAAUAACUCCCCGAAAGGGGUGCUAAUACCGGAUAAUGUCUUCGGACCAAAGAUUUAUCGCCUUUGGAUGGGCCCGCGUUGGAUUGGCUAGUUGGUAGGGUAAAAGCCUACCAAGGCGACGAUCCAUAGCUGGUCUGAGAGGAUGAUCAGCGACACUGGGACUGAGACACGGACGAGAAUGCUACGGGAGGCAGCAGUGGGGAAUAUAGGACAAUGGGCGAAAGCCUGAUCCAGCAAUGCCGCGGGAGUGAUGAAGGCCUUAGGGUUGUAAAGCUCUUUUACACGGGAUGAUAAUGACAGUACCGGGAGAAUAAGCACCGGCUAACUCCGUG